This 427-nucleotide ribosomal RNA is filed under the name uncultured Paracoccaceae bacterium. Its description in RNAcentral is "bacterial SSU rRNA". It matches the Rfam family "Bacterial small subunit ribosomal RNA", at positions 933 to 1381 of the family's 1533-position model. Lineage: Bacteria; Pseudomonadati; Pseudomonadota; Alphaproteobacteria; Rhodobacterales; Paracoccaceae. The record is from RNAcentral.
UGGAGCAUGUGUUUAAUCGAAGCAACGCGCAGAACCUUACAACCCUUGACAUGGGUAUCGCGAUUUCCAGAGAUGGAUUUCUUCAGUUCGGCUGGAUACCACACAGGUGCUGCAUGGCUGUCGUCAGCUCGUGUCGUGAGAUGUUCGGUUAAGUCCGGCAACGAGCGCAACCCACGUCUUUAGUUGCCAGCAUUCAGUUGGGCAACUCUAAAGAAACUGCCGAUGAUAAGUCGGAGGAAGGUGUGGAUGACGUCAAGUCCUCAUGGCCCUUACGGGUUGGGCUACACACGUGCUACAAUGGCAGUGACAAUGGGUUAAUCCCUAAAAGCUGUCUCAGUUCGGAUUGGGGUCUGCAACUCGACCCCAUGAAGUCGGAAUCGCUAGUAAUCGCGUAACAGCAUGACGCGGUGAAUACGUUCCCGGCCUU